UUCGGUUCUCGUUUAAGCACAGACCAAACAAACACCACCUCCCUAGAGGCUACGUACCAUGAUGGUCAGAUUAGGGGUUGCUGUGAUUAUUUUCAGUGCAGUGUAUGUUUCUCCUUACUCUCAUGAAGAAGUUCCCAGAAGAUGAAGCCCUGUAUUACUGUGCAAUUGGAAGAGAGCUGACUUUGGAAAUUCAGAGAUGGCACAUCUGUCUUUAAAAGGAAACGGUCAGAGGUCUGACUACAAGACAGUGGAGCAACAGCCAGAGUCGGACCCAGUCCAUCCAGGAGACUCAGUGACUCUGCAGUGUACAGUACUCUCUGAGACCUGUACAGGAGAACACAGUGUGUACUGGUUCCAAGCCAUCAAAGGAGAAUCUCAU
This 379-nucleotide long non-coding RNA is filed under the name Salmo trutta (river trout). RNAcentral describes it as "lncRNA (ENSSTUG00000002427.1)". The record is from RNAcentral. Lineage: Eukaryota; Metazoa; Chordata; Actinopteri; Salmoniformes; Salmonidae.